RNAcentral lists this ribosomal RNA (301 nucleotides) under uncultured bacterium. RNAcentral describes it as "partial 16S ribosomal RNA". It matches the Rfam family "Bacterial small subunit ribosomal RNA", at positions 509 to 807 of the family's 1533-position model. The record is from RNAcentral.
CAGCAGCCACGGGAAAACGAAGGGGGCUAGCGUUGCUCGGAAUGACUGGGCGUAAAGGGCGCGUAGGCGGUCACGAUAGUCAGAUGUGAGAUUCCUGGGCUUAACCUGGGGACUGCAUUUGAUACUGUGUGGCUUGAGUGUGGAAGAGGGUCGUGGAAUUCCCAGUGUAGAGGUGAAAUUCGUAGAUAUUGGGAAGAACACCGGUGGCGAAGGCGGCGACCUGGUCCAUAACUGACGCUGAGGCGCGAAAGCGUGGGGAGCAAACAGGAUUAGAGACCCGUGUAGUCCCUGUCUCUUAUAC